RNAcentral lists this ribosomal RNA (253 nucleotides) under uncultured bacterium. Its description in RNAcentral is "partial 16S ribosomal RNA". It matches the Rfam family "Bacterial small subunit ribosomal RNA", at positions 524 to 776 of the family's 1533-position model. The record is from RNAcentral.
UACGGGGGGGGCAAGCGUUGUUCGGAAUUACUGGGCGUAAAGGGCUCGUAGGUGGCCAACUAAGUCAGACGUGAAAUCCCCAGGCUCAACUUGGGAACUGCGUCUGAUACUGGAUGGCUUGAAUUCGGGAGAGGGAUGCAGAAUUCCAGGUGUAGCGGUGAAAUGCGUAGAUAUCUGGAGGAAUACCGGUGGCGAAGGCGGCAUCCUGGACCGAUAUUGACACUGAGGAGCGAAAGCGUGGGGAGCGAACAGG